GGAGCCGGCCGGACAGUCGCUGUAUUGCAGGUAAAUGCAGAGGAAAGUCCGGGCUCCGCAGGGCGAGGCGCCAGGUAACGCCUGGGAGGCGCGAGCCUACGGAAAGUGCCACAGAAAAGAUACCGCCUCGCGUCUUUAAUGGCGCGCGGUAAGGGUGAAAAGGUGCGGUAAGAGCGCACCGCGCCGCUGGCAACAGCGGUGGCAGGGUAAACCCCGCCUGGAGCAAGACCAAAUAGGGAGCAGGUACACGUUACCGCGUGCGGCCCGCACAGCUCCCGGGUAGGUCGCUAGAGGUGUGCGGCGACGCGCAUCCCAGAUGAAUGACUGUCCACGACAGAACCCGGCUUAUCGGCCGGCUCCCCUU
This 364-nucleotide RNase P RNA is filed under the name Gammaproteobacteria bacterium. RNAcentral describes it as "RNase P RNA component class A". It matches the Rfam family "Bacterial RNase P class A". From Rfam's summary of the family: Ribonuclease P (RNase P) is a ubiquitous endoribonuclease, found in archaea, bacteria and eukarya as well as chloroplasts and mitochondria. Its best characterised activity is the generation of mature 5'-ends of tRNAs by cleaving the 5'-leader elements of precursor-tRNAs. The record is from RNAcentral. Lineage: Bacteria; Pseudomonadati; Pseudomonadota; Gammaproteobacteria.